RNAcentral lists this transfer RNA (85 nucleotides) under Streptomyces purpurascens. RNAcentral's name for it is "tRNA-Thr". Lineage: Bacteria; Bacillati; Actinomycetota; Actinomycetes; Kitasatosporales; Streptomycetaceae. The record is from RNAcentral.
UUCCUCGUGGCCGGGGACGUAUGGCGGGCCUGCCGUGAAGGGCGGGUGGACCCGCAGACCUGCGGGUUCAGCCCCGUCGAGGGGC